This 413-nucleotide ribosomal RNA is filed under the name uncultured bacterium. RNAcentral's name for it is "bacterial SSU rRNA". It matches the Rfam family "Bacterial small subunit ribosomal RNA", at positions 505 to 916 of the family's 1533-position model. The record is from RNAcentral.
GUGUCAGCCGCCGCGGUAAUACGUAGGUGGCGAGCGUUGUCCGGAGUUACUGGGUGUAAAGGGCGUGUAGGCGGGGACAUAAGUCAGGUGUGAAAUACCAGGGCUCAACCCUGGGGGUGCAUCUGAAACUAUGUUUCUUGAGUGCUGGAGAGGAAAGCGGAAUUCCCAGUGUAGCGGUGAAAUGCGUAGAGAUUGGGAGGAACACCAGUGGCGAAGGCGGCUUUCUGGACAGCAACUGACGCUGAGGCGCGAAAGCGUGGGGAGCAAACAGGAUUAGAUACCCUGGUAGUCCACGCUGUAAACGAUGGAUACUAGGUGUAGGAGGUAUCGACCCCUUCUGUGCCGGAGUUAACACAAUAAGUAUCCCACCUGGGGAGUACGGCCGCAAGGUUGAAACUCAAAUGAAUUGGCGG